This 497-nucleotide ribosomal RNA is filed under the name uncultured bacterium. Its description in RNAcentral is "partial 16S ribosomal RNA". It matches the Rfam family "Bacterial small subunit ribosomal RNA", at positions 28 to 507 of the family's 1533-position model. The record is from RNAcentral.
GAUGAACGCUGGCGGCGUGCCUAAUACAUGCAAGUCGAGCGAACAGACGAGGAGCUUGCUCCUCUGACGUUAGCGGCGGACGGGUGAGUAACACGUGGAUACCCUACCUAUAAGACUGGGAUAUCUUCGGGAAACCGGCGCUAAUACCGGAUAAUAUAUUGAUCCGCAUGGUUCAAUAGUGAAUGACGGUUUUGCUGUCACUUAUAGCUGGAUCCGCGCCGCAUUAGCUAGUUGGUAAGUUAACGGCUUACCAAGGCAACGAUGCGUAGCCGACCUGAGAGGGUGAUCGGCCACACUGGAACUGAGACACGGUCCAGACUCCUAAGGGAGGCAGCAGUAGGGAAUCUUCCGCAAUGGGCGAAAGCAUGACGGAGCAACGCCGCGUGAGUGAUGAAGGUCUUCGGAUCGUAAAACUCUGUUAUUAGGGAAGAACAAAUGUGUAAGUAACUAUGCACGUCUUGACGGUACCGAAUCAGAAAGCCACGGCUAACUACGUG